RNAcentral lists this ribosomal RNA (497 nucleotides) under uncultured bacterium. RNAcentral describes it as "partial 16S ribosomal RNA". It matches the Rfam family "Bacterial small subunit ribosomal RNA", at positions 28 to 507 of the family's 1533-position model. The record is from RNAcentral.
GAUGAACGCUGGCGGCGUGCCUAAUACAUGCAAGUCGAGCGAACAGACGAGGAGCUUGCCCCUCUGACGUUAGCGGCGGACGGGUGAGUAACACGUGGAUAACCUACCUAUAAGACUGGGAUAACUUCUGGAAACCGGAGCUAAUACCGGAUAAUAUAUUGAACCGCAUGGUUCAAUAGUGAAAGACGGUUUUGCUGUCACUUAUAGAUGGAUCCGCGCCGCAUUAGCUGGUGGGUAAGGUAACGGCUUACCAAGGCAACGAUGCGUAGCCGACCUGAGAGAGGGAUCGGCCACACUGGAACUGAGAGACGGUCCAGACUCCUACGGGAGGCAGCAGUAGGGAAUCUUGCGCAAUGGGCGAAAGCCUGACGGAGCAACGCCGCGUGAGUGAUGAAGGUCUUCGGAUCGUAAAACUCUGUUAUUAGGGAAGAACAAAUGUGUAAGUAACUAUGCACGUCUUGACGGUACCUAAUCAGAAAGCCACGGCUAACUACGUG